ACUGAGGGAUGAUGACAUAAAAGGCCGAAUUACAGAGCCUCUCCAAGCAGUUCUCUCUGUGGAAGAGGCUCGAUGACAAAACUCCUUGAAGCGAACUCAAAACUGACCUCAAC
Molecule: small nucleolar RNA, 113 nt
Filed under: Pelobates cultripes (western spadefoot toad)
Lineage: Eukaryota; Metazoa; Chordata; Amphibia; Anura; Pelobatidae
Rfam family: Small nucleolar RNA SNORD89
About the family: snoRNA HBII-289 belongs to the family of C/D snoRNAs. It is the human orthologue of the mouse MBII-289 and has no identified RNA target.
Source: RNAcentral